This 253-nucleotide ribosomal RNA is filed under the name uncultured bacterium. RNAcentral describes it as "partial 16S ribosomal RNA". It matches the Rfam family "Bacterial small subunit ribosomal RNA", at positions 524 to 776 of the family's 1533-position model. The record is from RNAcentral.
UACGGAGGGUGCGAGCGUUGUCCGGAAUCACUGGGCGUAAAGGGCGCGUAGGUGGCGUUGCAAGUCAACGGUGAAAGCUCGACGCUCAACGUCGAGUCGGCCGUCGAGACUGCGAGGCUCGAGCACUGUAGAGGCAGAUGGAAUUCCGGGUGUAGCGGUGGAAUGCGUAGAGAUCCGGAAGAACACCGGUGGCGAAGGCGGUCUGCUGGGCAGUUGCUGACAUUGAGGCGCGACAGCGUGGGGAGCAAACAGG